GGCAGUCGCAAAGAGAAAGGAUUGCAACACCAGGGAGGAGAUGAAAGGCCUCAUAUCAUUUUGCAGCCAACAAGAAACCUGAAGGAACUAAGAUUGGCUCUAUUUCUACAGCUUGUGAAAAGCUGAGAACGGAAGCAAUGACUGGGCUAAUUCUGGACAAAAUUUUUUAAAAUGAUUUUUGUCACAGGAACCCAGAUCUUCGCCUCAAUUCUUUGCUUUUGUCUAAAUUGCUCAUUUUUCCAAAUUUCUCCUGAACUGGCUGGUGAAAGUGGCACAGCCAACUGUUGCCAGGCAUGAUGUCCUGUCAAACUCCUGUAUCUGCAUGGUUCAAAAGGGUCUUCCUAUUCAUCAUAGUAUUAGAGGCAUCUGAUGGAAAAGUAGUGUGCCAAGGUGAUUAGUGACAACAACAACAAAAGCAACUUAUUUUUGAGCCUGUGAAAGGCCCUGUUCUAGACACUUUAUACAAGAGCUGUAUCCUUACUGAUAGCCCUGCAAGAAAAGCUAUUCUCCAAGAAGAAAAAGAAAAUGGAAGUACAAAUUUCCAACAGCACACAUUUUCUCUGCUCUCUCCUUGGCUCUGAAAGAGGAUGCGUGAAACAGAAUUUCAGGCUGUAAUUAAUGCAGCUCUUCAUAAGAUAAGAGGUUCUUUUAUCUACAGAAAAAUUGCUGCACUAAUUCUCAACAAGAAGUGCAAUGCUCCGGUUAAUGCUCUUUCUACAAGAAGAAUUCACCUAUUCUACGCUCUACAUAUUUACAGACAAAUUUGAAUAUUUUGUUAUGGGAAACUGAAGAUGGGUAAACAUACAAUGAUAAUAAUACUUUAUAGGGCUAAAUAUAAAAACCUUAAAUAUUAAUAUUAUGUUUGGAUAAAUGCUGAAUACAGUCACAUAAAGAAUUUUCAAAUAACAUUGACGCUACAGGCAUAUACUUGUAAGCACAGACCUUAAUUGGGCACAACUUAGAUCCAGCAGUCUCUGAGGGGGAGAGUAAACAAACUGGGAAAUGCAUCCUCACUUGAUACAGUGAGGAAAAAGAGCUGUGGUUCCUUGCUCUGCUCUAAAGUACUGUCCAAAGAAGGACGAAGCCCCACCGUUUGUAUUUUAAUUGAAAUAUUUCCUUGUAGAAUGCACAUUCCAAUUUAGAAACAAUACUUCCUGUAUGUAUGUUUCAUGUGUGUGCUUGGAAUAAUUGGUAAUGUGUUGGCACUGUGUUC
This is a long non-coding RNA of Rhinopithecus roxellana (golden snub-nosed monkey), 1213 nucleotides long. RefSeq lists it as uncharacterized. The transcript is spliced from 4 exons. NCBI's taxonomy places the organism in Eukaryota, Metazoa, Chordata, Mammalia, Primates, Cercopithecidae. The record is from RefSeq and is a predicted model, not a curated record.